Molecule: ribosomal RNA, 447 nt
Filed under: uncultured bacterium
Lineage: Bacteria
Description: bacterial SSU rRNA
Rfam family: Bacterial small subunit ribosomal RNA
Source: RNAcentral
GCGAGAAUAUUCGACAAUGGACGAAAGUCUGAUCGAGCGACACCGCGUGAGUGACGAAGGCCUUAGGGUUGUAAAACUCUUUCGUCGGGGACGAUAAUGACGGUACCCGAAGAAGAAGCUCCGGCUAACUUCGUGCCAGCAGCCGCGGUAAUACGAAGGGAGCUAGCGUUGUUCGGAUUUACUGGGCGUAAAGGGUGCGUAGGCGGCAUAUCAAGUCACUUGUGAAAUCUCCGGGCUUAACUCGGAACUGCCAAGUGAUACUGAUGUGCUAGAGUGCAGAAAGGGCAACUGGAAUUCUUGGUGUAGCGGUGAAAUGCGUAGAUAUCAAGAGGAACACCUGAGGCGAAGGCGGGUUGCUAGGCUGACACUGACGCUGAGGUACGAAAGCUAGGGGAGCGAACGGGAUUAGAUACCCACGUAGUCCCUGAGCGGGCUGGCAAGGCGCAU